GACGAACGCUGGCGGCGUGCUUAACACAUGCAAGUCGAACGGAAAGGCCUUUUCGGAGGUACUCGAGUGGCGAACGGGUGAGUAACACGUGGGUGAUCUGCCCUGCACUCUGGGAUAAGCCUGGGAAACUGGGUCUAAUACCGGAUAGGACCGCACUUUAGUGUGUGUGGUGGAAAGUUUUUUCGGUGUAGGAUGAGCCCGCGGCCUAUCAGCUUGUUGGUGGGGUAAUGGCCUACCAAGGCGGCGACGGGUAGCCGGACUGAGAGGUUGGUCGGCCACAAUGGGAAUGAGAUACGGCCCAGAAUCCCACGGGAGGCAGCAGGGGGGAAUAUUGCACAAGGGGGGCAAGCCUGAUGCAGCGACGCCGGGGGGGGGAUGAAGGGCUUCGGGUUGGAAACUCCGUUCGCCAGGGACGAAGCGUUUUGUGACGGUACCUGGAGAAGAAGCACCGGCUAACUACGUG
RNAcentral lists this ribosomal RNA (463 nucleotides) under uncultured bacterium. RNAcentral describes it as "partial 16S ribosomal RNA". It matches the Rfam family "Bacterial small subunit ribosomal RNA", at positions 28 to 507 of the family's 1533-position model. The record is from RNAcentral.